This is a non-coding RNA of Camellia sinensis, 2167 nucleotides long. Lineage: Eukaryota; Viridiplantae; Streptophyta; Magnoliopsida; Ericales; Theaceae. The record is from RefSeq and is a predicted model, not a curated record.
CCGACCAUACUCACCCUUGAUUUUGCGUCUAUAGAACGCUCUCCCAUUGCGACGCGUCAUGUGCCCUUUCUACGAAGCUGUUCCAACUGUUCUCCCUGUAUCUCCUCCUCUGUUUCUCUGUAAAUCCAUGUUGAUUCUGUGCUCAUACUUCUCUGGGUUUGACAAAGCUUUACACUCAAACUCAAAAGACUCCAAUUUGGGAAUUCGUAAUUCACCUCCAUUAAUCUCCCAAACCUCUCUUCAAUGGCUUCCGAACCCUCCUCUUCAAUCUCCCAAUACGCUUUCCACGUUUUCAUCAGUUUCAGAGGCGAAGACACUCGCAAGAACUUCACCGAUCACCUCUACACUGCCUUAGUCGGCGCUGGUUUGCGCACUUUUUGAGAUGAUGAUGAGAUCGAGAGAGGCGAAAACAUCAAAUUAGAGCUCGAAAGAGCGAUCAAACAGUCGAGGAGUUCGGCCAUUGUGUUGUCCAAAGACUUGCUUCUUCCGGCUAGUGCCUCGAUGAAUUUGUCAUGAUUGUUGAACGAAGGAGGACCGUUGGGCAUGUCAUUUUACCGGUUUUUUAUGAUGUCGAUCCGUCAAAUGUUCGGAAGCAAAGUGGGACUCUUGCUGAAGCAUUUGAGAGGCAUGAGGCAAAAUUCAGGGCGGAAAUUGAUGAAAGAAAGAGGAAACAAGGGAUGGAGAGGAUGGGAUUGUGGAGGAAAGCACUUGGAGAAGUUGCUGAUUUGGGAGGAACAGCAACAAUUGAAGGCCUUAGAAGAUAUGCCAGCUAAGAGUGCAAGCGGUACACAAUCCCAAAAUGAAGAUUUUCUUGCAAAACAUACAAUUUUUAACGAAGGCAAUUCAUUGAAGGGACGUUGCCAAAGCUUAUUCUCUUUUCUCCGUGUUAUUCCUGCCUUCACAGAAUCAUUUUCGGAAUCAGAUGAAGAUGAUUUGAAAACUGAUGCAUUUUCACAGAUGCACAAAUUAAGACUACUUCAGCUUAAUAAUAUAAGACUCAGUGGCAGAUAUCAAAAAUUUCCUAAGAAGUUAAGAUGGUUGUGUUGGCAUGGAUUCCCUUUAAAAUCUAUACCAAAUGAUUUUACUUUGGAUAGUCUGGUUGCCCUUGAGAUGCAAAAUAGUAGCUUAACUCUGGAAGAGAACCAAGUUGCUCAGAUCAUUGAAAAUCCUUUAUCUCAGUUAUUCAAUUCCCUUGACUUCUCACAGCUCCCUAAUCUUGAGAGACUGAUCCUUAAAUAUUACAUAAAUUUGGUUGGGAUUCACGAAUCAAUUGGGGAAUUAGGGGCCCUUGUUUUGUUGAAUCUUGAAGGCUGUAAAAAUCUAAGCUUCCAAGGAAAGUUUUUCUGGUCAAAUCCCUUGAACUCAUUCUUGGUGGAUGCUCAAUGCUGGAUGGGCUGCCCCUUGACCUGGGCAAGAUGGAAUCUUUGAACGUGCUUCAUGCAGAUGGAACAAAUUGAUUACUCACUCGAUCAUUCGAUAGUUUAAACUGCGACCUGUACUAAAAUUAUCAAAAUUUCAUUUUGGCUGAGUUGGAAUCCACGGCAAUAAUUGCAUCGGAAUUGUUCACUGAAGUAACAUGUACAAAAAGAAAGCUACAGUAAGUGCUCUCUCUCUCUCUCAUUAUGUUGUCUGUUUCAGUUAGAAGUUAAAGUUGUCAAUUCCAUUGCAGAGGAAUUGUAUCAAUGUGAUAUUUAAGCAUAUUUCUUCCCAAGGUGAGAUUCCCAGUUGGUUAACAAGAAGAGUAGGGAAUCCUCAAUGUCUUUUACUGUUCCUUCUGUGCUAAUCUGAAUGUUUGUGUUUUCUAUGUGCAGGUCAUGUGAACUGAAGAUGUGAACAUCUGGCCUUUUGAAGUGUAUGAGUGAUGCUGAUGUAGUUGAGAAGAGCAAAGGACUGCAAUGGAUGUAUAUUCCAGCAUUCAUAGGAAAGAUUUUGAAUCAGUUAAUGGAAGAUGAUGAUGAAGUGGAUGCAGGAAAAGCUUUUUGGGUAAAGGAACUUGGAAUUCGUGUUCUUGUGUGAGCCUAAAAAGCAAUGGCAGCCAAUACCACAGCAAUGAUCCUUGUCAUCAAAAUGUCAUUGAUUUAUCAGCAUAUCAGAUGAGGACAGAGGACUACUUCCUAUGCAAUCACAAUUGAUUUCAUAGGGUUAGACUCUAUUUUUGGAUUUUAAG